This 460-nucleotide ribosomal RNA is filed under the name uncultured bacterium. RNAcentral describes it as "partial 16S ribosomal RNA". It matches the Rfam family "Bacterial small subunit ribosomal RNA", at positions 338 to 795 of the family's 1533-position model. The record is from RNAcentral.
CCUACGGGAGGCAGCAGUGAGGAAUAUUGGUCAAUGGACGAGAGUCUGAACCAGCCAAGUAGCGUGAAGGAUGACUGCCCUAUGGGUUGUAAACUGCUUUUGUACGAGGGUAAACUCAGAUACGCGUAUCUUUCUGCAAGUAUCGUACGAAUAAAGAUCGGCUAACUCCGUGCCAGCAGCCGCGGUAAUACGGAGGAUUCAAGCGUUAUCCGGAUUUAUUGGGUUUAAAGGGUGCGUCGGCGGUCUGAUAAGUUAGAGGUGAAAUCCCGAGGCUCAACCGCGGAAUUGCCUCUGAUACUGUUAGGCUAGAGAGUAGUUGCGGUAGGCGGAAUGUAUGGUGUAGCGGUGAAAUGCUUAGAGAUCAUACAGAACACCGAUUGCGAAGGCAGCUUACCAAGCUACGUCUGACGUUGAGGCACGAAAGCGUGGGGAGCAAACAGGAUUAGAUACCCGAGUAGUC